AUAGAGCCUUAGUAGUAUAGUUAAUACACUGGUCUUG
This 37-nucleotide transfer RNA is filed under the name Crocidura grayi (Luzon shrew). Its description in RNAcentral is "partial tRNA-Thr". The record is from RNAcentral. Lineage: Eukaryota; Metazoa; Chordata; Mammalia; Eulipotyphla; Soricidae.